This 119-nucleotide non-coding RNA is filed under the name Frankia sp. AcoPraII.1. Lineage: Bacteria; Bacillati; Actinomycetota; Actinomycetes; Frankiales; Frankiaceae. The record is from RNAcentral.
GGAGGUUUUGUGGCCCUCCGGAUUCGCCCUGCGGGGGGAGAUUCCAAAGCACCUCAAGCUGCGUUAGCUGAAGACUGUCGUGGUGAGCGUUGAGGAAAAGGCGCACGAGAGGCGUCAGC